RNAcentral lists this ribosomal RNA (253 nucleotides) under uncultured bacterium. RNAcentral describes it as "partial 16S ribosomal RNA". It matches the Rfam family "Bacterial small subunit ribosomal RNA", at positions 524 to 776 of the family's 1533-position model. The record is from RNAcentral.
UACGUAGGUGACAAGCGUUGUCCGGAUUUACUGGGCGUAAAGAGCGCGCAGGCGGUCGUUCAAGUCGAGUGUGAAAGCCCCCGGCUCAACCGGGGAGGGUCAUUCGAUACUGAUCGACUCGAAGGCAGGAGAGGGUAGUGGAAUUCCCGGUGUAGUGGUGAAAUGCGUAGAUAUCGGGAGGAACACCAGUGGCGAAGGCGACUACCUGGCCUGUUCUUGACGCUGAGGCGCGAAAGCUAGGGGAGCAAACAGG